CUGCAUGAAGGUUCUUUUCAUCAGUUGGAAUGGUUUUUACUGAAAGGAAAUGCAUUUCCAUGUGAAUGUAUUGGAGUUUGCAGCCCCACUGCUGCCUGCCUCCUUGAUUUUGGCUCUACUCACAGUUCCUUUUAUUGGUUUUUUGGCAGGUUGCUGAGGGCAUAUGUUUUGGACUUUUCUUGCCUGAUUUGUGAGAUUCUGCUGACAUCCAGGAAAGUGCUGCAAAAAAAACCUGUUGCUCAUAUCCAAGCUUAUGUGUUUCGUGGCAGAGCCACGAGCACUGAGCUCAAGUUUCUUGACAACAAGUCUUAUUUAUGGAGAAACAAACAUAGGCGGUAUUUCGUGGGACCAUGCUGUUCUCUUUCUUGGAGCUUAGAAUUGAAGAAAACGUAUGGAUGUGAGAGUUGGACUGUGAAGAAGGCUGAGCACCGAAGAAUUGAUGCUUUUGAACUGUGGUGUUGGAGAAGACUCUUGAGAGUCCCUUGGACUGCAAGGAGAUCCAACCAGUCCAUUCUAAAGGAGAUCAGAAGGGUGUUCUUUGAAAGGACUGAUGCUGAAGCUGAAACUCUAAUACUUUGGCCACCUAUUGUGAAGAGUUGACUCGUUGGAAAAGACCCUGAUGCUGGGAAAGAUUGAGGGCAGGAGGAGAAGGGGACGACAGAGGAUGAGAUGGCUGGAUGGCAUCACCAACUCAAUGGACGUGAGUCUGAGUGAACUCCGGGAGUUAGUGAUGGACAGGGAGGCCUGGUGUGCUGCGAUUCAUGGGGUCGCAAAGAGUUGGACGCGACUGAGCAACUGAACUGAACUGAACUGGACUGAACGCUUUACUUGGUCAUUUAAGUGUAUGGUGGCUGGUGUUUGUGGAUUUAUUCAUUUUGGAGAUGCUCUGUUUGCUUUUUUGCUAAUUCUAAUUCAGAGUUACGAAUCCUGCUUUCAUUUUCUUCUCUGUUACUUUGUGCUUGCAACUUCUUUCUGAUUUUCCUAGGUAUGAAAAAGAGAAAUCUUGAGAUACGCAUCAAAACAACACCAAACAGAAACACAGUUGUGCAAAGCAGAGAGGCCUCAUUAAAGUUGUGUUUUUUUUAAGUUACUUAAAAAUCAAGAAUGACCUUAUAAAUAAUUAUAAAUAUAAUAAAAGAUAUAAUAAUAAAUCUAAUAAAAGAAUG
Bos indicus x Bos taurus (hybrid cattle) is the source of this 1166-nucleotide long non-coding RNA. The record is from Ensembl. Lineage: Eukaryota; Metazoa; Chordata; Mammalia; Artiodactyla; Bovidae.